Molecule: ribosomal RNA, 580 nt
Filed under: Meyerozyma caribbica
Lineage: Eukaryota; Fungi; Ascomycota; Pichiomycetes; Serinales; Debaryomycetaceae
Description: eukaryotic LSU rRNA
Rfam family: Eukaryotic large subunit ribosomal RNA
Source: RNAcentral
AAACCACCAGGGAUUGCCUUAGUAGCGGCGAGUGAAGCGGCAAAAGCUCAAAUUUGAAAUCUGGCACCUUUCGGUGUCCGAGUUGUAAUUUGAAGAUUGUAACCUUGGGGUUGGCUCUUGUCUAUGUUUCUUGGAACAGGACGUCACAGAGGGUGAGAAUCCCGUGCGAUGAGAUGCCCAAUCCUAUGUAAGGUGCUUUCGAAGAGUCGAGUUGUUUGGGAAUGCAGCUCUAAGUGGGUGGUAAAUUCCAUCUAAAGCUAAAUAUUGGCGAGAGACCGAUAGCGAACAAGUACAGUGAUGGAAAGAUGAAAAGAACUUUGAAAAGAGAGUGAAAAAGUACGUGAAAUUGUUGAAAGGGAAGGGUUUGAGAUCAGACUCGAUAUUUUGUGAGCCUUGCCUUCGUGGCGGGGUGACCCGCAGCUUAUCGGGCCAGCAUCGGUUUGGGCGGUAGGAUAAUGGCGUAGGAAUGUGACUUUGCUUCGGUGAAGUGUUAUAGCCUGCGUUGAUGCUGCCUGCCUAGACCGAGGACUGCGAUUUUAUCCAGGAUGCUGGCAUAAUGAUCCCGAACCCCCCCCGCUUG